AAAGCUUUAAGUUAAAGAUGAAACUAUUAACCUUCAAAGUUAAAUAUAUAAUGUUAGGUAUAAGCUUUA
This 69-nucleotide transfer RNA is filed under the name Eusthenes cupreus. RNAcentral's name for it is "tRNA-Trp". Lineage: Eukaryota; Metazoa; Arthropoda; Insecta; Hemiptera; Tessaratomidae. The record is from RNAcentral.